UCUCCUACGGGGCGCAGCAGUAGGGAAUCUUCCACAAUGGGCGAAAGCCUGAUGGAGCAACGCCGCGUGAGGGAUGAAGGUCUUCGGAUCGUAAACCUCUGUCAGCAGGGAAGAACGGUCACUGUGCUAAUCAGCAGUGAAUUGACGGUACCUGCAAAGGAAACACCGGCUAACUCCGUGCCAGCAGCCGCGGUAAUACGGAGGGUGCGAGCGUUAAUCGGAAUUACUGGGCGUAAAGCGCUCGUAGGCGGUAUGUCAAGUCAAGGGUGAAAUCCCCGCGCUCAACGUGGGAACUGCCUUUGAAA
This 305-nucleotide ribosomal RNA is filed under the name uncultured bacterium. RNAcentral describes it as "bacterial SSU rRNA". It matches the Rfam family "Bacterial small subunit ribosomal RNA", at positions 335 to 632 of the family's 1533-position model. The record is from RNAcentral.